GAUGAACGCUGGCGGCGUGCCUAAUACAUGCAAGUCGAGCGAACGGACGAGAAGCUUGCUUCUCUGAUGUUAGCGGCGGACGGGUGAGUAACACGUGGAUAACCUACCUAUAAGACUGGUAUAACUUCGGGAAACCGGAGCUAAUACCGUAUGAUAUUUUGAACCGCAUGGUUCAAUAGUGAAAGACGGUCUUGCUGUCACUUAUAGAUGGAUCCGCGCUGCAUUAGCUAGUUGGUAAGGUAACGGCUUACCAAGGCAACGAUGCGUAGCCGACCUGAGAGGGUGAUCGGCCACACUGGAACUGAGACACGGUCCAGACUCCUACGGGAGGCAGCAGUAGGGAAUCUUCCGCAAAGGGCGAAAGCCUGACGGAGCAACGCCGCGUGAGUGAUGAAGGUCUUCGGAUCGUAAAACUCUGUUAUUAGGGAAGAACAUAUGUGUAAGUAACUGUGCACAUCUUGACGGUACCUAAUCAGAAAGCCACGGCUAACUACGUG
Molecule: ribosomal RNA, 497 nt
Filed under: uncultured bacterium
Lineage: Bacteria
Description: partial 16S ribosomal RNA
Rfam family: Bacterial small subunit ribosomal RNA
Source: RNAcentral